AUUCGCGCUGUUUGUUUUCCUAGGAAUCAGCUCUGUUUAAAACUUAUUUUUAUAUUUUUUAUCCAAUAUAAAUUAUUUAUUCGAAUAAAUUUAUAAUUAAAAGAAUUGUAUGAAGCGUACUAACAAAAAUUAUAAAAUUAAAUGCAUCAUUACUAACUCACAUCAAAUAAAUUAAACAAUUGAAUGAUAAAAUAAAAUUUUGAAAAUUUAGAUAGUCGAAUCAAAAUAAUCCAUAAUGCAAAUAUUUUUUGUCCGUUUUUAUGUUUCUUAUUAUUUUGUAUUUUGCUUGCAUGCAGUAUGGCUAAGUAAACAACAUUAUGUACUUUUUCGUUAUUUUCGACUAUGAGAUAUCUAAAUCGACGAUCGAUAUAGUUAGACUUAAUUAAACCUAAUCAUAUUUUUUAGGAACAACCAAAUUUUGUAACUUUCCGACACCACCGGCCUAACUUUUAUGUGGUCCCAAAAUUGAAAAUUUUUAAUAACUUAUACAAAAUGAAUUUAGUGUGUAAAAUCUUGAAAUUCGACUUCUAUGAAGUUCAAAUAGACUAAGGCUCCGUUUAGAAUUACAAAGAGAUUGUGUUACGUGCAAUAAAAAAAUAUGAUGAAAAAAAUGCAAUAAAUCAGCAAUAAUAUAUUUUCUGUAAUUCGAUCAAAAAAAUAAAAAAUACAUCUAUAUGCUUUUGCCUAUCAAAUAGAUCUUAAAUCACAUUUAACGGCACCGAUUUUGUUUACUAGUCAUUUUAAUCAAACAAUUGCUAUAGGUAAAAAUGUAUAAAACUUAACUAUCACCCAUUUACAAUUGGCUACCAUUAACAUUUGGAUAUAGAAGGAGUCAAGAAUAUUCCUUUGAUACAUUUAAAUUUUAUACCUGAAUAGCUAUCAAAUCAAUUAAAUCAAAUAAAUUAAAAAAUUUAGUACUAGAAUUAAAAUUUUGAAAGAUUGGACAGCGAAAUUAAAAUGGCUUAUAGGGUGCGUUUGAUUCGCAUUAUGAAAGAUUACUAGAAAUAAAAGAUAUUCGAGAAUCUUAUUCCUAUUCAUUCUAUUACUAAGAAUAUAGAAUUUCUGUAUUUGGUUUGCACGGUAAUAUUAAUUAGCCAUGUUGUUUAAUAUUACAAAAAAUAUACAAUUAAUUAAUUUAUUUAUUUAUUUAAUUUUAGAUAAUGUUACCAAAAGUUUCAACAUAAUUUUAGAAAAAAGGAAGAGAGAGUAUAAGUUAGAGAGAGAGAACAUAAUUAAAAAAAUAGAAAGAAAAAUAUAGUCGAAAUUAAAGGGAGAGAGAGAGAGUAGAAAUUUUAGAAAGAGAGAGAGAGAGAGAGAAAGCUUAGUUUAGAGAGAGAAAAAAAGUUGAAUUUUAGAGAGAAAAAUAAGUUUAGAGAGAGAUAGAAAUUUAGGGUGUAAAGAAAAAUAAUAUCAAUUAGCUGGCGGGUAAGAAGAAAAAAAAAAAAAUAGACAUAUUAUGAUUACCCCAAUCCAUUAAUAUGAGGAUACCCACCCUCCCUCAAGGGAAUGAGAUUAGUACUUUGGGGUGAAUCUUAUUCCCAAGUGAAUACAAUAUUACCAACUAGAUAGCGUUUAGCCAAACACCGUCAUAUUUUUUUAUUUUCAUUGAAUUACUAGGAAUCUUUAAAAAAUAGCGCGAAUCAAACGCACCCAAAGUUCAUUCAGAUAAAUUUUAUAUAUUUUUAAGAAGUGGCAAAUAUUCCCUU
Molecule: long non-coding RNA, 1706 nt
Filed under: Ananas comosus (pineapple)
Lineage: Eukaryota; Viridiplantae; Streptophyta; Magnoliopsida; Poales; Bromeliaceae
Description: long non-coding RNA (ACOM_LNC009297)
Source: RNAcentral